This 389-nucleotide ribosomal RNA is filed under the name uncultured bacterium. Its description in RNAcentral is "bacterial SSU rRNA". It matches the Rfam family "Bacterial small subunit ribosomal RNA", at positions 29 to 420 of the family's 1533-position model. The record is from RNAcentral.
AUUGAACGCUGGCGGCAUGCUUUACACAUGCAAGUCGAACGGUAACAGGCCUUCGGGCGCUGACGAGUGGCGAACGGGUGAGUAAUGCAUCGGAACGUGCCCAGUCGUGGGGGAUAACGCAGCGAAAGCUGUGCUAAUACCGCAUACGAUCUGCGGAUGAAAGCGGGGGACCUUCGGGCCUCGCGCGAUUGGAGCGGCCGAUGUCAGAUUAGGUAGUUGGUGGGGUAAAGGCCCACCAAGCCGACGAUCUGUAGCUGGUCUGAGAGGACGACCAGCCACACUGGGACUGAGACACGGCCCAGACUCCUACGGGAGGCAGCAGUGGGGGAAUUUUGGACAAUGGGCGCAAGCCUGAUCCAGCAAUGCCGCGUGCAGGAAGAAGGCCUCGG